AGAGAGAGACAUGCGCGCAUAUCAAUAAGCGGAGGAAAAGAAACUAACUAGGAUUCCCUCAGUAACGGCGAGUGAAGCGGGAAGAGCUCAAAUUUGAAAUCUUCAAGGUUUUACCUUGACGAAUUGUAGUUUAAAGAAGUGUUUUCUGCUGAAGUUUUGGUAAAAGUUCUUUGGUAAUAGGACAUCAUAGAGGGUGAGAAUCCCGUAUUUGACCAUUAUUUUCAGCUUUGUGAUACACUUUCAAAGAGUCGGAUUGUUUGGGAAUGCAGUCCAAAAUGGGUGGUAAAUUUCAUCUAAAGCUAAAUAUUGGCGAGGAGACCGAUAGCGAACAAGUACCGUGAGGGAAAGAUGAAAAGAACUUUGAAAAGAGAGUUAAACAGUACGUGAAAUUGUCAAAAGGGAAGCGUUUGACACCAGUGUUGUUUUCUCGAAAAUCAAUUAAAAAUGGCUCGAUUUUGUAUUGCUGAGACCUUAAAAGCUCACUGUACAUUUUUCGUGUCUUUUUUAAUGCACUUUUCGUUUAACAAGUCGACAUCAGUUUCUUUUGUUGUAAAAGGGUCAUUGGAAGGUGGCUUUCUUUUCGGAGAAAGUGUUUAUAGCCUUUGGCCUCUGCAAUCGAAGAGACUGAGGUCUGCAGCGUAGACUCUUCGGGGUUAGAUACAUUUGUGCUAAGUUAUAGCUUUUUAUAGACAACUUGUUGACUAUAAUUAGUCUUGUAGCUUACUCGCUUAUGCUAUUUUACCUACGCUUAGGAUGUUGAAGAUGUAGCACAUCAU
RNAcentral lists this ribosomal RNA (776 nucleotides) under uncultured Neocallimastigales. Its description in RNAcentral is "partial large subunit ribosomal RNA". It matches the Rfam family "Eukaryotic large subunit ribosomal RNA", at positions 23 to 634 of the family's 3401-position model. Lineage: Eukaryota; Fungi; Neocallimastigomycota; Neocallimastigomycetes; Neocallimastigales. The record is from RNAcentral.